Molecule: long non-coding RNA, 711 nt
Organism: Columba livia (rock pigeon)
Lineage: Eukaryota; Metazoa; Chordata; Aves; Columbiformes; Columbidae
Exons: 3
Source: RefSeq, a predicted model, not a curated record
CCCUGAACAAGGACAAGCCUUUGAACAAAUUAAGCGUGAGAUAACUCAUGUGGUGGCCCUUGGACCAGUUCGGACUGGACUAGGUUUUUGGAACUGAGGAUACAACGGAUCUGAGGCCAACUACACUCCAACUGAAAGAGAUAUUAGCAGCAUAUUAAGGGGUCCGAGCUGCAUCAAAAGUGAUUGGUACUGAAGCACAGAUUCUCCUGGCACCUCGAUUGCUGGUUCUGGGCUGGAUGUUCAAAGGGAAGGUUCCCUCUAUGCAUCAUGCAACCUAUGCUAUGUGGAGUGCACAAGAAGCUGGGAGGGAGCAAAGCCAGGACAGCUGACUCAAGAUGGCCAAAGGGGUAUUCCUUACCAUAUGCUAUCAUGCUCAGCUGGAGUUGGAGGGGGGGAAAAAUACCGCUGCUUGGGAACAAACAGGCUAUUGCUGUCAUGAGUGGAGGGGCAUGGAAGACUGUGACAAAAGAACCAAAAAGCCAGGAAGGACUUUGAACAACAUUACCUCUGUUGAAUGUUACUGAAUAUCUAUCAUUGCUACUUGUGCACCCCACCCAUGUGGCUGAGCAGCAUCUACUCCCUGUGGCUAGGGUAUAACUCUGGUCUGUUAAUAUCACCUCAAUGAGUUUCACCUUAAUGAAAGCUCAGUGAAGAAAACCCACUCCUUCCAAAGUCUUUUUAGGGAAAAAAAAAAAAAAAAAAAAAGAAAAA